UACGGAGGAUGCAAGCGUUAUCCGGAAUGAUUGGGCGUAAAGCGUCCGCAGGUGGCUGUGUAAGUCUGCUGUUAAAGAGUCUAGCUCAACUAGAUACAAGCAGUGGAAACUACACGGCUAGAGUACGUUCGGGGCAGAGGGAAUUCCUGGUGUAGCGGUGAAAUGCGCAGAUAUCAGGAAGAACACCCGUGGCGAAAGCGGCUCUCUGGGACGGUACUGACGCUGAGACGCGAAAGCGUGGGGAGCGAACAGG
RNAcentral lists this ribosomal RNA (253 nucleotides) under uncultured bacterium. Its description in RNAcentral is "partial 16S ribosomal RNA". It matches the Rfam family "Bacterial small subunit ribosomal RNA", at positions 524 to 776 of the family's 1533-position model. The record is from RNAcentral.